This 465-nucleotide ribosomal RNA is filed under the name uncultured bacterium. RNAcentral describes it as "bacterial SSU rRNA". It matches the Rfam family "Bacterial small subunit ribosomal RNA", at positions 331 to 792 of the family's 1533-position model. The record is from RNAcentral.
CCAGACUCCUACGGGAGGCAGCAGUGAGGAAUAUUGGUCAAUGGGCGGAAGCCUGAACCAGCCAAGUCGCGUGAGGGAAUAAGGCCCUACGGGUCGUAAACCUCUUUUGCCGGGGAGCAAGGGCGGGGACGUGUCCCGGCCCGGAGAGUACCCGGAGAAAAAGCAUCGGCUAACUCCGUGCCAGCAGCCGCGGUAAUACGGAGGAUGCGAGCGUUAUCCGGAUUUAUUGGGUUUAAAGGGUGCGUAGGCGGGUUUUUAAAGCCAGGGGAAAACGCGGGGGCCCCACCCCCGCCCCGCCGUUGAAACUGGCAGUCUCGAGUUGGAGAGAAGUAUGCGGAAUGCGCGGUGUAGCGGUGAAAUGCAUAGAUAUCGCGCAGAACUCCGAUUGCGAAGGCAGCAUGCCGGCUCCACACUGACGCUGAGGCACGAAAGCGUGGGUAUCGAACAGGAUUAGAUACCCGGGUA